Molecule: long non-coding RNA, 263 nt
Filed under: Brachypodium distachyon (stiff brome)
Lineage: Eukaryota; Viridiplantae; Streptophyta; Magnoliopsida; Poales; Poaceae
Description: long non-coding RNA (BDIS_LNC005737)
Source: RNAcentral
CCUACCUUCAUCCAAUAGGACGAUAAGAUUAAAAUUGUUUGCCUAUGAUAAGUAAGGGCAUCUUCAUGGUUGUUACGAAGAAGGUACUAAUCCUAUGUGGAAGAGAGAGAGAUCAGAAAAGCAGAAGUAACAACCUAUGCACAUAUGGGUCCACCGGAAUAAAUAAGAGAAUAGAAAAAGAGGGUGUCAUAUGGGUCCACCGGAAUAAAGAAGAGAAUAAAAAAAAGUAAUAGGAGAGGGAAGACAUGGACACAUUAUGGCUG